Molecule: ribosomal RNA, 433 nt
Filed under: uncultured bacterium
Lineage: Bacteria
Description: partial 16S ribosomal RNA
Rfam family: Bacterial small subunit ribosomal RNA
Source: RNAcentral
AACGAACGCUGGCGGCAUGCCUAACACAUGCAAGUCGAACGAGACCUUCGGGUCUAGUGGCGCACGGGUGCGUAACGCGUGGGAACCUGCCCUUAGGUUCGGAAUAACUCCCCGAAAGGGGUGCUAAUACCGGAUAAUGUCUUCGGACCAAAGAUUUAUCGCCUUUGGAUGGGCCCGCGUUGGAUUAGCUGGUUGGUAGGGUAAAAGCCUACCAAGGCGACGAUCCAUAGCUGGUCUGAGAGGAUGAUCAGCCACACUGGGACUGAGACACGGCCCAGACUCCUACGGGAGGCAGCAGUGGGGAAUAUUGGACAAUGGGCGAAAGCCUGAUCCAGCCAUGCCGCGUGAGUGAUGAAGGCCUUAGGGUUGUAAAGCUCUUUUACCCGGGAUGAUAAUGACAGUACCGGGAGAAUAAGCUCCGGCUAACUCCGUG